This 289-nucleotide ribosomal RNA is filed under the name uncultured marine eukaryote. Its description in RNAcentral is "partial 18S ribosomal RNA". It matches the Rfam family "Eukaryotic small subunit ribosomal RNA", at positions 616 to 909 of the family's 1831-position model. The record is from RNAcentral.
CGGUUAAAAAGCUCGUAGUUGGAUUUCUGUCCGAGACGGCCGGUCCGCACUUAGUGCGUGUAUCUGGUUCGGCUAGGGCAUCCUCUUGGGGAUCGUUUCUGUGCUUUAUUGCAUGGGGCGGAAUUCAAGACUUUUACUUUGAGGAAAUUAGAGUGUUCACGGCAAGCAAUCGCUUUGAGUACAUUAGCAUGGAAUAAUAAUAUAGGGCGUAAGUUCUAUUUUGUUGGUUUCUAGGACAUACGCAAUGAUUAAUAGGGACAAUUGGGGGCAUUCGUAUUAACGCGUCAGA